AAGUCGUAACACAGUUUCCGUAGGUGAACCUGCGGAGGGAUCAUUACUGAAGGCAUACGGGGGUCUUGAGACUGCGAUCCGCUCGCGUGCUCGACCCCUGAUAUCUCUUUUUCCACACACACCUUUGUGCACUGAAUAUUUUAAAAACCAAGUUAUAUGCAUGUGUUUUGUAUUGCUCUACGGAGUCUCAUACAACUUUCAACAACGGAUCUCUUGGCUUUCGCAUCGAUGAAGAACGCAGCGAACGUGCGAAACGUAAUGUGAAUUGCAGAAUUCAGUGAAUCAUCGAAUCUUUGAACGCAUCUUGCGCUCCUUGGUAUUCCGAGGAGCAUGCCUGUUUGAGAGUCGUGACUACACUCAACCUCCCCUUUCUUUUUUUUUAACAAAAAAAAAGGAGGGGCGGUUGGAUUUGGGUGACGCCGUGAAGAGACGGCCCAUCCUAAAUGGAUUAGCGAUCUGACCCGAUCAGAGACAAUGUGAUAAAAAAGAAAGCAUUGUUGUGAUCCGAGGCCGAAGCGUCGCUUCUAAUCGUCUGCAAAGACAAUGAAUNUGUCAUUUGACCUCAAAUCAGGUAGGACUACCCGCUGAGCUUAAGCAUAUCAAUAAGGCGGAGAAAAGAAACUAACAAGGAUUCCCUUAGUAACGGCGAGUGAAGAGGGAAAAGCUCAAAUUUGAAAUCUGGCGGCCUUCGGUCGUCCGAGUUGUAAUCUAGAGAAGUGUUUUCCGCGCUGGACCGUGUACAAGUCCUUUGGAACAAGGCGUCAUAGAGGGUGAGAAUCCCGUCUAGGACACGGACUACCAGUGCUUCUGUGAUACACUCUCAACGAGUCGAGUUGUUUGGGAAUGCAGCUCAAAAUGGGUGGUAAAUUCCAUCUAAGGCUAAAUACAGGCGAAAGACCGAUAGCGAACAAGUACCGUGAGGGAAAGAUGAAAAGCACUUUGGAAAGAGAGUUAAAAAGUACGUGAAAUUGUUGAAAGGGAAACGCUUGAAGUCAGUCGCGUCUUCAGAAACUCAGCCUGGCCCCUCGCGGGGUCCGGUGUACUUUUCUGUGGGACGGGCCAGCAUCAGUUUCGGCCGGCAGAAAAAGGUGAGAGGAAGGUGGCACCUCCGGGUGUGUUUAUAGCCUCUCGUCGCAUGUGCCGGCUGGGACUGAGGACCGCAGCACGCCCUGAAAGAAGGGCCGGGGUUCGCCCACGUAACGUGCUUAGGAUGCUGGCGUAAUGGCUUUAAGCGACCCGUCUUGAAACACGGACCAAGGAGUCUAACAUGCCUGCGAGUAUUUGGGUGGCAAACCCAUAUGCGGAAUGAAAGUGAACAGUUGGGACUUCUGUCAUGGAAGGCACCGACGCCCGGACCGGAGCUACUGCGAUGGAUCCGAGGUAGAGCAUGUAUGUUGGGACCCGAAAGAUGGUGAACUAUGCCUGAGUAGGGUGAAGCCAGAGGAAACUCUGGUGGAGGCUCGUAGCGAUUCUGACGUGCAAAUCGAUCGUCGAACUUGGGUAUAGGGGCGAAAGACUAAUCGAACCAUCUAGUAGCUGGUUCCUGCCGAAGUUUCCCUCAGGAUAGCAGAGACUCGCAUCAGAUUUAUGUGGUAAAGCGAAUGAUUAGGGGCCUUGGGGUUGAAACAACCUUAACCCAUUCUCAAACUUUAAAUAUGUAAGAGCGACGCGUCACUUGAUUGGACCCGUCGGCGAUUGAGAGUCUCUAGUGGGCCAUUUUUGGUAAGCAGAACUGGCGAUGCGGGAUGAACCGAUCGUGAGGUUAAGGUGCCGGAAUGCACGCUCAUCAGACACCACAAAAUGUGUGAGUUCAUCUAGACAGCAGGACGGUGGCCAUGGAAGUCGGAAUCCGCUAAGGAGUGUGUAACAACUCACCUGCCGAAUGAACUUGCCAUGAAAAUGGAUGGCGCUCAAGCGUGUUACCCAUACCUCACCGUCAGCGUUCGAGUGAUGCGCUGACGAGUAGGCAGGCGUGGAGGUCCGUGAAGCAGCCUAGGCAGUGAUGCUGGGUGAAACGGCCUCUAGUGCAGAUCUG
Molecule: ribosomal RNA, 2035 nt
Filed under: Geastrum arenarium
Lineage: Eukaryota; Fungi; Basidiomycota; Agaricomycetes; Geastrales; Geastraceae
Description: eukaryotic LSU rRNA
Rfam family: Eukaryotic large subunit ribosomal RNA (bases 558-2035)
Source: RNAcentral